AACUGCAAGUCGAGCGGGGGAGGUAGCUUGCUACUGGACCUAGCGGCGGACGGGUGAGUAAUGCUUAGGAAUCUGCCUAUUAGUGGGGGACAACAUCUCGAAAGGGAUGCUAAUACCGCAUACGUCCUACGGGAGAAAGCAGGGGAUCUUCGGACCUUGCGCUAAUAGAUGAGCCUAAGUCGGAUUAGCUAGUUGGUGGGGUAAAGGCCUACCAAGGCGACGAUCUGUAGCGGGUCUGAGAGGAUGAUCCGCCACACUGGGACUGAGACACGGCCCAGACUCCUACGGGAGGCAGCAGUGGGGAAUAUUGGACAAUGGGGGGAACCCUGAUCCAGCCAUGCCGCGUGUGUGAAGAAGGCCUUAUGGUUGUAAAGCACUUUAAGCGAGGAGGAGGCUACUUUAGUUAAUACCUAGAGAUAGUGGACGUUACUCGCAGAAUAAGCACCGGCUAACUCUGUGCCAGCAGCCGCGGUAAUACAGAGGGUGCGAGCGUUAAUCGGAUUUACUGGGCGUAAAGCGUGCGUAGGCGGCUUAUUAAGUCGGAUGUGAAAUCCCCGAGCUUAACUUGGGAAUUGCAUUCGAUACUGGUGAGCUAGAGUAUGGGAGAGGAUGGUAGAAUUCCAGGUGUAGCGGUGAAAUGCGUAGAGAUCUGGAGGAAUACCGAUGGCGAAGGCAGCCAUCUGGCCUAAUACUGACGCUGAGGUACGAAAGCAUGGGGAGCAAACAGGAUUAGAUACCCUGGUAGUCCAUGCCGUAAACGAUGUCUACUACCGUUGGGGCCUUUGAAGGCUUUAGUGGCGCAGCUAACGCGAUAUAGACCGCCUGGGGGAGUACGGUCGC
This 840-nucleotide ribosomal RNA is filed under the name Acinetobacter baumannii. RNAcentral's name for it is "bacterial SSU rRNA". It matches the Rfam family "Bacterial small subunit ribosomal RNA", at positions 53 to 889 of the family's 1533-position model. Lineage: Bacteria; Pseudomonadati; Pseudomonadota; Gammaproteobacteria; Moraxellales; Moraxellaceae. The record is from RNAcentral.